Populus euphratica (Euphrates poplar) is the source of this 1779-nucleotide long non-coding RNA. RefSeq lists it as uncharacterized. NCBI's taxonomy places the organism in Eukaryota, Viridiplantae, Streptophyta, Magnoliopsida, Malpighiales, Salicaceae. The record is from RefSeq and is a predicted model, not a curated record. The transcript has 7 exons.
CUCCGCCAUUGGUUGCUGAUGAAGAUCCUGUUUGGAAGAAACCAGUAAAGCUUGAAGAAGUGGAAGAACAUGAUUCAGCUGAUGAAGUGAAGCCUCAAGUUGACGAAGAAGACAGAGAAGUUAAACGAACGAGUAUACUGGAGCUAAUUAGAGCUCAACGGGCUUACAAUGCAAUAGCAGAGGAUGGAAAUCGUUGGGUUACAUUUUCUCCUAAACGUGCGAUUUCUGCUGAUCCUUGUUCCAAUAUGUAUCCUCCUCUUAAAAGGAAAGUUUAGAUCGACAUGCCUUCACCUGAGCAUGAAGGGAAUUAUUUGCAGUAUGGUGGAGAUGAUACAGAUUUGUCACCUCCACGUCAACGGAAGAGACAGUACCAUAGCCCAUCUCCUGCACCUGAUACAAAUUUGAAUUCAGAUUUGUCACCACCUCAUCAAUGAAGGUAUCGAAAUGAUACUCUACCUCCAGAACCGCCGAUGAAGCCUUCAGGAGAAGGUAGUGAUUUGUGAUCACAACGAAGGCAGCGAAAACGCCAUCAUUCUCCAUCACCUGAACCUGAUACGAAAUCCAAACAUUCCAGUGGUCUGCAUCCUGAUUUGUCACCACCUCGAAGACGUAGGGUUGAUACUGAAUCAUCUUCUGCACUGCCUAAAUUGAAUGAAGCCUUUGAGAGAAGAUAUUGACCUCCAAGACAACAGAGGCGACGGCACUAUUCUCCUUCACCGAAACCCGAGUCAGAUCUUUCACCCCCAAGGAGAAGCAAGAAGGAUGUUGAGGGAUCAAGAUCACCUGAUAAUUCUCAAUCAUCACGGCAGCGUUCAACUCAGAGUGGUAAUUGACGUGCAUCUAUGGCUCAAGACAUUUCUACACCUGGAAAAACUGGAAAGAAUCAUCUGGUUCAGCUUCUUCAAAGGAACAGCCAAAAACUGGUCUGAUUACUGGUCGUGGUAGGCGGGAAGAAAUUUUUAAAACUAAGAAGGACGCAUCAUUGUUUAGAGUAAGUUAGAGUGGGGAAAGGGCUUGGCUCAAAAGCGGGAAGCUGAAGCUAGGUUGGAGGAGUUAGACCUGGAGAAGGAAAAGUUAUUUGCGCGGACUAGGGAUGAUCUAGAGCUUGACAAAAUGCUGAAGAAAAGAGUACGAUGGGAUGAUCCCAUUGUAACAUUUGGUCAAGAAAAAGUGCUCUGAACCUGUUCUUGUAGACCUAGGGGAUAGUGAGAAGAUGACGGAAUUAAUUCCCCAGGACAUACCAGGUCCCAGCUGGAUAAAACGAGGAUUUGAUGCUGCACCAAAUCAAUCGAUAUGGUAUAAAACCAGGAACACUUUGGGAUGGGGUUGAUCGAAGUAAUGAUAGAGAUGGGCUGCUUGAGAGUAAUCUCUCCACUUAAAAGGUUAUACCUCUUGCAAAUUUCUGGAUUUCGGAGCUUUCUGAAGGUGGUGUAUUUACAGGAUUUUAAGUGCAUGCUACAUAACUUUGAAUCUUCAAGUAAAAGAGCAAGGAUUCCGGUCUGAUUGCAUCUUCUGAGAAUUUUAGUCAAAGAUGCUACUUGAUGCUGUUAAUCUCUGAUAAUGGAAGGAUGAUGAGUCAAUUAGCACAAUCGGGUUAGGUUGCUGACAUCAACUGAUUUUCUCUUUAUAUGUUACACAGUACCCAAGUAGUAGUUGUUAGAUGGAACAAGGAAGUGUUGGACUUCACUUUCGUAAAUGUCUUGAGGAAUUUCCCCCCUCUUGCACCCUUCUAUUUCCAACGGUGAUCAACGGUGUAGAAGUUGGAAAUCUUAUUCGCCA